Molecule: ribosomal RNA, 433 nt
Filed under: uncultured bacterium
Lineage: Bacteria
Description: partial 16S ribosomal RNA
Rfam family: Bacterial small subunit ribosomal RNA
Source: RNAcentral
AACGAACGCUGGCGGCAUGCCUAACACAUGCAAGUCGAACGAGACCUUCGGGUCUAGUGGCGCACGGGUGCGUAACGCGUGGGAACCUGCCCUUAGGUUCGGAAUAACUCCCCGAAAGGGGUGCUAAUACCGGAGAAUGUCUUCGGACCAAAGAUGUAUCGCCUUUGGCUGGGCCCGCGUUGGAUUAGCUAGUUGGUAGGGUAAAAGCCUACCAAGGCGACGAUCCAUAGCUGGUCUGAGAGGAUGAUCAGCCACACUGGGACUGAGACACGGACCAGACUCCUACGGGAGGCAGCAGUGGGGUAUAUUAGACAAUGGGCGAAAGCCUGAUCCAGCAAUGCCGCGUAAGUGAUGAAGGCCUUAGGGUUGUAAAGCUCUUUUACCCGGGAUGAUAAUGACAGUAACGGGAGAAUAAGCACCGGCUAACUCCGUG